Molecule: unclassified non-coding RNA, 438 nt
Filed under: uncultured Leifsonia sp.
Lineage: Bacteria; Bacillati; Actinomycetota; Actinomycetes; Micrococcales; Microbacteriaceae
Description: partial 16S-23S ribosomal RNA intergenic spacer
Source: RNAcentral
UACCCUGUGUUGUUUUCAACGCAGAGAUUGUCCAGGCGCCGGAUCUGAGACAGUACUUAUCACAUCGGUACGACUGGGUCUCAGCCGGUCAGCUCAUGGGUGGAACAUUGACAUUGGUGCGGAGCCGAACGGCUCGAACUUAGUACGCCUGCUUGCAGGAAGGAACAGUUCGGACCGGGGAGCCUCGCACAUGCACGCUGUUGGGUCCUGAGGGACCGGACCUCAUCGCUGUGUCUUCAAGACGCUGAGAUGAGAACCGAAUCCUCUGGACCUUUUUUGGUCGGCCAUAACUGGGCCGGCGGAAAAGGUACCGCCCGUACUUUGAGAACUACACAGUGGACGCGAGCAUCUUAGAUUCGGACCUUCGGGUUCGGAUCACAAAAGAUGAUCAUAGUACUUUCGAGUACUGAUUAGAUCAUUGGUCAAUCUGCUCACUUC